UGAAACCUAUUGUCUCUCAAACUCUUCGAAACCCUAGUCUCCUUCUUCCCCCCUUCAACCACCACUCCAUCCUAAUCCAUGGUUUCUCGGGCCAUGGAUAGUUGGUACUCACUCCCCUCCAUCAGUAUGCCAUGGUUGUUCGAAGUUGCGAGACUGGACCUCGAUGGCUCCCUUUCAGAUCAAUUAAUCUAUAGCUUCUCUGGCCCUUACUCCAGCAUAUUCGAGCAAUAUGAGUCUUUUAGACACGAGAUCAGACUUUCCUAAAGACAUUUCUUAUUUCUAGGGGUUUCUCUGCAUUCCAUGGCUAUUCAAGGUUCUUUCUAAUUUUCUUUUCUUUGAUCUGCCACAUAUCUAUGCUCCGCUUGAGUUUUCAAACGAUUUUCCCCAUUUUUCUUUGAAAAAUAACUUUAUUCAAGAUCUUCCUUUUCCGAUCUAAGGUUUUCCAAAAAUUUUAAGUGAUUUCUGACUUUUCUUUACCUUUAUGUGUACUUGCUCCUACUGUGUUCUUGUAUUCUUCCUUUUACC
This 525-nucleotide long non-coding RNA is filed under the name Nicotiana benthamiana. RNAcentral's name for it is "long non-coding RNA (NBEN_LNC006462)". Lineage: Eukaryota; Viridiplantae; Streptophyta; Magnoliopsida; Solanales; Solanaceae. The record is from RNAcentral.